This 395-nucleotide long non-coding RNA is filed under the name Phasianus colchicus (ring-necked pheasant). RNAcentral's name for it is "lncRNA (ENSPCLG00000014025.1)". The record is from RNAcentral. Lineage: Eukaryota; Metazoa; Chordata; Aves; Galliformes; Phasianidae.
AUUUUUUUGUGUGUGAGAGAAAAUAAAACAAGCACUCACAAACGACUAUGGUGUGUAAAAUAAUCAGUGCUAUUUUGACUGUAGCUCGAGGUAGGACUCUCUCUCAAGGGAUAACACUCAUUGAAUUAGCCACAAGAUGGAGCCCUAGGGACCUGCGAACCGGUUGUUAGCGUUGCCCUCCUGAAUCAGAUAAAGAACAAAGUAGUGCUGUCUUUAUUAUACCGGAAAACGUUUUAUGAGAGACUUUAGUAACAGACAAGGCACUUCAGAGAAGCCUCACGAACACAAGCAUGAACAUAUUAAACAUGAAAAAUCAAUCUCUCACACUAAGCCAGGUAAGUUUGGUAAUUCAAUUUCCAGCCACUCCAAGCUCAGCUCAAUAUGGCCCACUGUGG